Non-coding RNA from Novosphingobium sp. SCN 66-18, 128 nucleotides. The record is from Rfam. Lineage: Bacteria; Pseudomonadati; Pseudomonadota; Alphaproteobacteria; Sphingomonadales; Sphingomonadaceae.
GGCGAAUUUUGCCCUGGCAGAGCGAGCCAGAGAUACUUGGCGCCCGUUCAACGAUGAUCGCCUUUAUCGACGAACAUCGCGAUGCCUAUGGGGUCUAGCCGAUCUGCCGGAUUCUGCGGAUCGCGCCA